Non-coding RNA from Saimiri boliviensis boliviensis (Bolivian squirrel monkey), 674 nucleotides. NCBI's taxonomy places the organism in Eukaryota, Metazoa, Chordata, Mammalia, Primates, Cebidae. The record is from RefSeq and is a predicted model, not a curated record.
GUGCGUGGCCGAGUGACCCCGCGCCCGGAUGACCCCUGGGAUUUCCGCCUCGUCUUCCAGCGGGGGACCUUGGGACGCACGGGCGGCUUCGGAUCCGGGAGCGCGAGGCCUAGCAGCUGGGGGCCGAACUUGAACCUCGGCGGCGGCCGCGGGCGAGGGGCGGGGCUGGAGGGGCCGGGACCGCCGCCCCAGCUCGAGGACCCGUUAGACCCGAAAACCGCAGCCCCUGCCCCGCGGGCUUCCUUUAUUUUGGGGGGGGUUCCCAAGUUUUUCCACCACAGCCCCUUCUUCCCGCCGCAAUGUAGCUGAUGCUCAUAAAAAGUUGUAUUAAAAAGCUGACUGCAGCCCAGAAUCGAUCAACAAAAGCGACCAGCCUCUCUGGGUCUAACAUGGCCUUCUCAACAGAUGACUGCAAGUUGAUUUCGUGCUUUAUUAAUAAUAGUGACUAACCUAUGGGAUCUGAUUCAAUUUAUUAGGAACACAGUGCCACCUUCCAAAAUUACUUACCUAAGAGGACUGAGCCUGCUGUCUCUGGAGCAGUUAGCUGAAACAGUGCCUCAGAACGGAGCGUACCUGCGUUAACUUCUUGAGUGCUGUUUCCGGCAGCUGCUGAAAUCCACGCUGAGGUUAUCAGUCUCAUCCUACAAAAUGAAACAAGUUCUUUGCAAUUUAAA